RNAcentral lists this transfer RNA (88 nucleotides) under Bacteroidota bacterium. RNAcentral describes it as "Bacteroidetes bacterium tRNA-Ser". It matches the Rfam family "tRNA". Rfam says of the family: Transfer RNA (tRNA) molecules are approximately 80 nucleotides in length. Their secondary structure includes four short double-helical elements and three loops (D, anti-codon, and T loops). Lineage: Bacteria; Pseudomonadati; Bacteroidota. The record is from RNAcentral. RNAcentral also lists the same sequence under 1 other name.
GGAGAAAUGGCAGAGCGGUCGAAUGCGGCGGUCUUGAAAACCGUUGUACCGCAAGGUACCGGGGGUUCGAAUCCCUCUUUCUCCGCCA